RNAcentral lists this ribosomal RNA (254 nucleotides) under uncultured bacterium. Its description in RNAcentral is "partial 16S ribosomal RNA". It matches the Rfam family "Bacterial small subunit ribosomal RNA", at positions 524 to 776 of the family's 1533-position model. The record is from RNAcentral.
UACGUAGGGUGCGAGCGUUGUCCGGAAUUAUUGGGCGUAAAGAGCUCGUAGGCGGUCUGUCGCGUCGGUCGUGAAAACUUGGGGCUUAACCCUGAGCUUGCGGUCGAUACGGGCAUGACUGGAGUUCGGCAGGGGAGACUGGAAUUCCGGGUGUAGCGGUGAAAUGCGUAGAUAUCCGGAGGAACACCGGUGGCGAAGGCGGCUUCCUGGACCGACACUGACGCUGAGGCGCGAAAGCUAGGGGAGCAAACAGG